UAUUGGUGGUGUGGACAAUCCCGAAGAAGAACUUUAAAGCGUUCCCAAGCAUGAUAGAGAUUUUCAUCUGGCUUCUGUUUGAAGCUCACAAUCUUACUACGAAGACU
Capsicum annuum is the source of this 107-nucleotide non-coding RNA. NCBI's taxonomy places the organism in Eukaryota, Viridiplantae, Streptophyta, Magnoliopsida, Solanales, Solanaceae. The record is from Rfam.